UACGUAGGGUGCAAGCGUUGUCCGGAAUUAUUGGGCGUAAAGAGCUCGUAGGCGGUUUGUCGCGUCUGCUGUGAAAACCCGAGGCUCAACCUCGGGCCUGCAGUGGGUACGGGCAGACUAGAGUGCGGUAGGGGAGACUGGAAUUCCUGGUGUAGCGGUGAAAUGCGCAGAUAUCAGGAGGAACACCGGUGGCGAAGGCGGGUCUCUGGGCAGUAACUGACGCUGAGGAGCGAAAGCGUGGGGAGCGAACAGG
RNAcentral lists this ribosomal RNA (253 nucleotides) under uncultured bacterium. RNAcentral's name for it is "partial 16S ribosomal RNA". It matches the Rfam family "Bacterial small subunit ribosomal RNA", at positions 524 to 776 of the family's 1533-position model. The record is from RNAcentral.